ACAUCAGCCGUCGCUCGCUCCUUCCUUCCUCACCCUAGCCCCAAUCCACAGCCCCACGCCCCUCGCUCCUUCCUUCCUCACCCGCCGCCGCUCCCUCCCACCUCCUCCUCCUCCUCCCCCUUCUGCACCCUAGGAUCCCCGCCGCUGCCCUGUUGCUACUCCUCCACCGGCCCGCCCUGCUGCGUCGUGAGCCCCUAGAAUUGACAAGCAAGCGCCCCGCCACCGCCGCCGCAGGCGCACGACAAACCGCCGGUGCACGCACACUUGAAGCAUUGUAUAACAUCGAACACAUGAGAGAUGAACUUCUCAGGCGGCCGGCUUAAUCGAAGUGAGGCGAUGCUUGCCUUGCUGAUCGAUUCAGGUCUCCUCCCAUGCAGAUACAGGCUCCUUGCUGCGGUGCUGGAGAGACGCGCAUGAGCAUGGAGUGGUUUGGCUGUUAGAUCCAUCGCCAACUCGAGCGAACACCAUACUGGGCAGGUGCCAUGGUGGCCGGUGCUUGCGUGGCGGGCAGCAGCCUCUGGCUGCUGAUCGUCAGCGUCAUAGGAGCCCCCUCACUCCAGUGCAUGUGUGCCACCGAACCAUUCCUGUAGCUCAAAGGACACUCCAAUCGUUUGCUUCAAUAUUGUCUGGAAGUGUAGACCGCUCACUGAGGAUGAAUUGUUUCCUGCCAUUGAAGAGAACUACUAUAUCUCAAAGAAGUUCUACUUCGACCUUUCCUACCAGCAGUGUGUGCGCAUGCUCAACAGUCGAUGUUAAGAAGCGCUUCCUUCAUGAGCUUAGUUUGAUUUGGCCCGGUUUUGAUGCCUCUGCAGUGUGUGCGCAUGCUCAACAAGUACAGUCGCAACAACUCAAUUUCUUCAGAUGUGGCAUAGGAAGUCAUGUCCUCAUGUGCUACUAUUUCUAGAGCAUGCCGAAGCAGGCGAUGUGUCAUGUCCCGCGCGGCAGCCUCCCCGAUCCGCCUCGGCACCCACAUCAAGUCCUCUCGGUCUACCUCCUCCAUCAUGUAGCAUGGUUUUGAGCGGCCAGGUGUCCCAGAUUGACAGCGACGGCGGCAUGAGGGUGUGAUAAAAUAAUAAUUAGCAGUAACAUGCACUAAUAUGAGGUUUAGCACCAGGGGUAACUUUAUGCAAUCACACUUAGUAAGCAGCAUUUUCUAUUGCUCUAUGAUUUUUAUGUGGGUAAUGGUGAUCUCUGUACAGACUAUAGAUGACGUUAAAGUACAUGUCACACUGAAAAAGAACAUGCCUGAGAUAAGGCCAUGGAACCUUCA
Triticum aestivum (bread wheat) is the source of this 1270-nucleotide long non-coding RNA. RefSeq lists it as uncharacterized. The record is from RefSeq and is a predicted model, not a curated record. Lineage: Eukaryota; Viridiplantae; Streptophyta; Magnoliopsida; Poales; Poaceae. The transcript has 5 exons.